Long non-coding RNA from Pteropus alecto (black flying fox), 684 nucleotides. RefSeq lists it as uncharacterized. The transcript is spliced from 3 exons. The record is from RefSeq and is a predicted model, not a curated record. NCBI's taxonomy places the organism in Eukaryota, Metazoa, Chordata, Mammalia, Chiroptera, Pteropodidae.
CCAGUAAGGGAAAAAAAAAAAAUACUCAAUUACCCCACCUGGACAAGAAGGAGGACUUCUUUUCCAGAUGAGUGUCUUACCUGAAGGAAAUGAGUAAAACCAGCAAAACACUCUUACUCUCCCAGGGUACUUGCAGUGAAAGACAGGAUCUAAGUGACCUUCAUGCAUGCUCUACAUGCAAAGGGAAAAGCAGCUGAAAUCCCAACUCAAGGUGACUUAAACCAGAAGGAAAUUACUCUCUUAAAUAACAGGUGGUCUAGAAUCUGAUGGUUCUCCAGGAAGGUCCAGAAACUCAACUAAGUCAUCAAGAAUGAGAUUCUUUCCCACUCUGUUUUGCAUAGUACUAGCUUCAAACCAAACUUGGUUCCCCUCUGUCAUAAGCACAAAGCCCAAGUCCAGGGAAACCAGGCGUGAUUUUUCUGAACUGACUCGAUCUUUUCCCAUUAAUGACGUGAGAAAUCUGUGUGUCUUACCUGAUGCUCUGAGAUAAAGGGAUUCCUUAUCUUCACACGUACACCAAACGCUCGAUUUCCAAAAUGAAGCCAGUAAAAGAAGGAAGAAGAAUGCAUUGAGCCUUGGUUUCCUCAUCUUUCGAGUAGAGACAAUACUAUCUAUAUCAACUAGAUGGAUUUGAGAUUAAAUAAAAUACUGUUUAUAUAUAUAUAAAAUACCAGCAAGGGCAAG